GGUUCGUUGGUGUAAUGAGCAACAUUCCUGGAGUCAAAAUUCACUUCGGGUACGCCCUUUAGGAAAAUAUCGGUUCGAGUUUGGUACGGACCA
This is a non-coding RNA of Sordaria macrospora k-hell, 93 nucleotides long. The record is from the annotation of a RefSeq genome assembly. NCBI's taxonomy places the organism in Eukaryota, Fungi, Ascomycota, Sordariomycetes, Sordariales, Sordariaceae.